This 21-nucleotide non-coding RNA is filed under the name Caenorhabditis elegans. The record is from RNAcentral. Lineage: Eukaryota; Metazoa; Nematoda; Chromadorea; Rhabditida; Rhabditidae.
UCGUCGUUCCAGAUUGUAAUU